UCCAUUUGGGCCUAGACGCUUGGGAACUC
RNAcentral lists this non-coding RNA (29 nucleotides) under Homo sapiens (human). The record is from RNAcentral. Lineage: Eukaryota; Metazoa; Chordata; Mammalia; Primates; Hominidae.